RNAcentral lists this unclassified non-coding RNA (200 nucleotides) under Sordariomycetes sp. RNAcentral describes it as "partial internal transcribed spacer 2". Lineage: Eukaryota; Fungi; Ascomycota; Sordariomycetes. The record is from RNAcentral.
UUAAGUUCAGCGGGUAUUCCUACCUGAUCCGAGGUCAACCUUCUGCAGAUGCAGUUGGGGGGGUUUUAACGGCCGAAGCACGCCAGGCCACCUGAGCGAGAGGAGAAACUACUGCGCUCGGAGCCCUGGCGGGUCCGCCACUGAUUUUGAGGGCCUACCGGUCCGCUGGAGGGACCGUAGCACCCCAACACCGGGCCAAA